CACAGCUUCAGACAUGCCCUAUUGCCCUGAGGCUUGAGUCCUUAACACUGCCUUGAAGAACUUGGACUCUGUUCUGCCUUUCUCACCUGCUCACCCAGGAGACACCUGAACUUGAGCUGACUCAGCCAGCCACAUUUCCCGAGGCCUCUCCCACAGUGCCUUCUUCUUCAGGGCUUUUCCCAGAGCUCUGCUUCUCAGGUCAGAAGUGACCCACGCCCCAGUUCUGACCGCAACACCUUCAUUCGGAGGAAGACUUUACUGCCUUUUCCUGCCCUGCACUAACCACUUCUCACGCUGCCCACUCCUAGGGGCCAGUGGGCGCGGCAUAAUCACUACCUGCACCGUCGCUUGCCCUGCUACGUCAUUAGCCCCUGAUACCUGCAGCUCUGUUUGGAGUCCAUUUUUACCCUCUAUAGUGGCCUAUAAAUUGAUUUGCCUCUAACAAUUGGGAAGAAAGACUUCCCUGGGCAUACACUCAACACGAACGCAGGACCAUGUUCACUAAGACACGGAUGUCGCAACAAGCCUAUCUAUAAUACCCUAAUGGGAUGGAAAUGAACGAUCUGGAACUUCAGCCAAAGCAUGGAUGAAUCUCACAAAUGGUGAACAAAAGAGACCAGAACUGAAAUUGUGUGAUUCUACUCAUGUCAAGUACAGACAUUAGCGAAAUUCAUACAUGUUUGUCAGAAGCCUGGACAGGCUGACCUCGGGGUGGAGGGUGCCUGGGGGAAGUGUGGGCUUCUCUGGGAGCUGCUGAUGUUGGCUUCCUGAUCUGGGUGCUGCUUCCACAGUGCACAGGGUGUGAGAGCUUGUUCUGUGUGUCUGUGAUGAAUGUCUGCAUGUUAUGCCACAAGGAAAAUUUUUAAAAGGAAAUACAUUUUUAUAAAAGUUUAGAAAAUGUAAAUA
Heterocephalus glaber (naked mole-rat) is the source of this 906-nucleotide long non-coding RNA. RefSeq lists it as uncharacterized. The record is from RefSeq and is a predicted model, not a curated record. NCBI's taxonomy places the organism in Eukaryota, Metazoa, Chordata, Mammalia, Rodentia, Bathyergidae.